GGCGGCAGGCCUAACACAUGCAAGUCGAGCGGAAACGAGUUAUCUGAACCUUCGGGGAACGAUAACGGCGUCGAGCGGCGGACGGGUGAGUAAUGCCUAGGAAAUUGCCUUGAUGUGGGGGAUAACCAUUGGAAACGAUGGCUAAUACCGCAUGAUGCCUACGGGCCAAAGAGGGGGACCUUCGGGCCUCUCGCGUCAAGAUAUGCCUAGGUGGGAUUAGCUAGUUGGUGAGGUAAUGGCUCACCAAGGCGACGAUCCCUAGCUGGUCUGAGAGGAUGAUCAGCCACACUGGAACUGAGACACGGUCCAGACUCCUACGGGAGGCAGCAGUGGGGAAUAUUGCACAAUGGGCGCAAGCCUGAUGCAGCCAUGCCGCGUGUAUGAAGAAGGCCUUCGGGUUGUAAAGUACUUUCACCAGUGAGGAAGGGGGUGUC
RNAcentral lists this ribosomal RNA (434 nucleotides) under bacterium WP2ISO24. Its description in RNAcentral is "bacterial SSU rRNA". It matches the Rfam family "Bacterial small subunit ribosomal RNA", at positions 38 to 458 of the family's 1533-position model. The record is from RNAcentral.